CCCUACGGGACGCAGCAGUGGGGGAUAUUGCACAAUGGGGGAAACCCUGAUGCAGCGACGCCGCGUGAGUGAAGAAGUAUUUCGGUAUGUAAAGCUCUAUCGGCAGGGAAGAAAAAAAUGACAGUACCUGACUAAGAAGCCCCGGCUAACUACGUGCCAGCAGCCGCGGUAAUGCGUAGGGGGCAAGCGUUAUCCGGAUUUACUGGGUGUAAAGGGAGCGUAGACGGCAGCGCAAGUCUGGAGUGAAAUCCCAUGGCUUAACCAUGGAACUGCUUUGGAAAAUGUGCAGCUGGAGUGCAGGAGAG
This 305-nucleotide ribosomal RNA is filed under the name uncultured bacterium. RNAcentral describes it as "bacterial SSU rRNA". It matches the Rfam family "Bacterial small subunit ribosomal RNA", at positions 337 to 656 of the family's 1533-position model. The record is from RNAcentral.